UAGGGAAUCUUCCACAAUGGACGAAAGUCUGAUGGAGCAAUGCCGCGUGAAUGAAGAAGGUCUUCGGAUCGUAAAGUUCUGUUAUUAGAGAAGAAUAGGUCGAGGAGUAACUGUCUCGACUUUGACGGUACCUAACCAGAAAGUCACGGCUAACUACGUGCCAGCAGCCGCGGUAAUACGUAGGUGACGAGCGUUGUCCGGAAUUAUUGGGCGUAAAGGGAGCGCAGGCGGUUGAAAUAGUCUGAUGUGAAAGCCCACGGCUUAACCGUGGAAGGUCAUUGGAAACUGUUCAACUUGAAUACAGAAGAGGUAAGUGGAAUUCCAAGUGUAGCGGUGAAAUGCGUAGAUAUUUGGAGGAACACCAGUGGCGAAGGCGGCUCUCUGGACUGUAACUGACGCUGAGGCACGAAAGCGUGGGGAGCAAACAGG
This 429-nucleotide ribosomal RNA is filed under the name uncultured prokaryote. RNAcentral describes it as "bacterial SSU rRNA". It matches the Rfam family "Bacterial small subunit ribosomal RNA", at positions 355 to 776 of the family's 1533-position model. RNAcentral also lists the same sequence under 1 other name. The record is from RNAcentral.